AGUCCAUUGUGCGAGCAACACCGGAGCAAAUAUUUGUACCUCUCCCAAGCAUCGUACAUGCUCUCGUCAUCAAACUGCACAUAAGAAGAUAUAUCAUUUCUGAAUUU
Ricinus communis (castor bean) is the source of this 107-nucleotide small nucleolar RNA. NCBI's taxonomy places the organism in Eukaryota, Viridiplantae, Streptophyta, Magnoliopsida, Malpighiales, Euphorbiaceae. The record is from RefSeq and is a predicted model, not a curated record.